Molecule: ribosomal RNA, 686 nt
Filed under: Agrilus sp. UPOL RK0823
Lineage: Eukaryota; Metazoa; Arthropoda; Insecta; Coleoptera; Buprestidae
Description: eukaryotic LSU rRNA
Rfam family: Eukaryotic large subunit ribosomal RNA
Source: RNAcentral
GGAGUCUAGCAUGUGCGCGAGUCACUGGGACUCUAGCGAAACCUAAAGGCACAAUGAAAGUGAACGUCCGCCCUAGCGCGGACGGAGGGAGGAUGGGCCGCGGUCGGUCUUACGUCGUCGCGGCUCCGCACUCCCGGGGCGUUUCGUUCUCAUCGCGAGAAGAGACGCACCCAGAGCGUACACGCUGGGACCCGAAAGAUGGUGAACUAUGCCUGGUCAGGACGAAGUCAGGGGAAACCCUGAUGGAGGUCCGUAGCGAUUCUGACGUGCAAAUCGAUCGUCGGAACUGGGUAUAGGGGCGAAAGACUAAUCGAACCAUCUAGUAGCUGGUUCCCUCCGAAGUUUCCCUCAGGAUAGCUGGCGCUCGCUUUCGCGAGUGUCAUCCGGUAAAGCGAAUGAUUAGAGGCAUUGGGGUCGAAACGGCCUCAACCUAUUCUCAAACUUUAAAUGGGUGAGAACUCCGGCUUGCUCGAACUAGAAGCCGCGAGUUUCGAGCGCGCCGUCGCGCUCGCUCCGGCGGGUGCGGCGGCGCGCGCACGGAUCAGAGUGCCAAGUGGGCCAAUUUUGGUAAGCAGAACUGGCGCUGUGGGAUGAACCAAACGUAGAGUUAAAGCGCCCAAAUCGACGCUCAUGGGAUACCAUGAAAGGCGUUGGUAACUUAAGACAGCAGGACGGUGGCCAUGGAA